This 520-nucleotide ribosomal RNA is filed under the name uncultured Entrophospora. RNAcentral describes it as "SSU rRNA". It matches the Rfam family "Eukaryotic small subunit ribosomal RNA", at positions 569 to 1085 of the family's 1831-position model. Lineage: Eukaryota; Fungi; Glomeromycota; Glomeromycetes; Entrophosporales; Entrophosporaceae. The record is from RNAcentral.
AGCAGCCGCGGUAAUUCCAGCUCCAAUAGCGUAUAUUAAAGUUGUUGCAGUUAAAAAGCUCGUAGUUGAAUUUCGGGAUUGACACAUCGGUCGUGCCUUAAGGGGUAUGAACUGGUGUAGUCAAUUUCUCACCUUCUGGAGAACCGCGAUGCCCUUAAUUGGGUGUCGCGGGGAACCAGGACCUUUACUUUGAAAAAAUUAGAGUGUUUAAAGCAGGCAUUUUGCUUGAAUACAUUAGCAUGGAAUAAUAAAAUAGGACGGCAUGAUUCUAUUUUGUUGGUUUCUAGGAUCACCGUAAUGAUUAAUAGGGAUAGUUGGGGGCAUUAGUAUUCGAUUGUCAGAGGUGAAAUUCUUGGAUUUAUUGAAGACUAACUACUGCGAAAGCAUUUGCCAAGGAUGUUUUCAUUAAUCAAGAACGAAAGUUAGGGGAUCGAAGACGAUCAGAUACCGUCGUAGUCUUAACCAUAAACUAUGCCGACUAGGAAUCAGACGAUGUUAAUUUUUAAUGACUCGUUUGGCA